GACGAACGCUGGCGGCGUGCUUAACACAUGCAAGUCGAACGGAAAGGCCCUGCUUUUGUGGGGUGCUCGAGUGGCGAACGGGUGAGUAACACGUGAGUAACCUGCCCUUGACUUUGGGAUAACUUCAGGAAACUGGGGCUAAUACCGGAUAGGAGCUCCUGCUGCAUGGUGGGGGUUGGAAAGGUUGGGCGGUUGGGGAUGGACUCGCGGGUUAUCAGCUUGUUGGUGGGGUAGUGGCUUACCAAGGCUUUGACGGGUAGCCUGCUUGAGGGGGUGACCGGCACGGUGGGGCCUGGGAAGGGGCCCAGCAGCGGGGUGGGGGGAAGGAGGGGAGAAGUGCAGCAGGGGGGAGGCCGCGUGUGGGAGCGAGGCGGGGGGGGGGUGACGCCCUUGGGUUUGUGAACCGUGUUCGCCUGGGGUGGGGGGGGGUUGACGGUAGUGGGAAAAGAAGCGCCGGCUAACUACGUG
This 468-nucleotide ribosomal RNA is filed under the name uncultured bacterium. RNAcentral's name for it is "partial 16S ribosomal RNA". It matches the Rfam family "Bacterial small subunit ribosomal RNA", at positions 28 to 507 of the family's 1533-position model. The record is from RNAcentral.